ACCUUUACAGAAUUGAGGUAGAGACCCAGCAUGAAAAUGAACAGAGAAGAUUAGCAUGGCCCCUGCGCAAGGAUGACACGCAAAAUCGUGAAGCGUUCCACAUUUUU
Schistocerca gregaria is the source of this 107-nucleotide small nuclear RNA. Lineage: Eukaryota; Metazoa; Arthropoda; Insecta; Orthoptera; Acrididae. The record is from RefSeq and is a predicted model, not a curated record.